This 253-nucleotide ribosomal RNA is filed under the name uncultured bacterium. RNAcentral describes it as "partial 16S ribosomal RNA". It matches the Rfam family "Bacterial small subunit ribosomal RNA", at positions 524 to 776 of the family's 1533-position model. The record is from RNAcentral.
UACAGAGGGUGCAAGCGUUGUUCGGAAUUAUUGGACGUAAAGCGCGCGUAGGCGGUUAUCUAAGUCGGAUGUGAAAGCCCUCGGCUUAACUGAGGAAGUGCACCCGAAACUGGAUAGCUAGAGUACGAAAGAGGGUCGCGGAAUUCCCGGUGUAGAGGUGAAAUUCGUAGAUAUUGGGAGGAACACCAGUGGCGAAGGCGGCUCACUGGACCGGUACUGACGCUGAUGCGCGAAAGCGUGGGGAGCAAACAGG